This 468-nucleotide ribosomal RNA is filed under the name uncultured bacterium. Its description in RNAcentral is "partial 16S ribosomal RNA". It matches the Rfam family "Bacterial small subunit ribosomal RNA", at positions 28 to 507 of the family's 1533-position model. The record is from RNAcentral.
GACGAACGCUGGCGGCGUGCUUAACACAUGCAAGUCGAACGGAAAGGCCCUGCUUGUGUGUGGUUCUCGAGGGGCGAACGGGUGAGUAACACAGGAGUAACCUGCGCUGUGCGGGGUGAUAACUGCAGGAAACUGGGGCUAAUACCGGAUAGGAGCGCGUGCUGCAUGGGGGUGGUUGGAAAGUUUGGGCGGUUGGGGAUGGACGCGCGGCUUAUCAGCUGGUUGGUUGGGUAGUUGCUUACCAGGGCUUUGAAGGGUAGCCGGCCUGGGAGCGUGAACGGCGACAUUGGGCCUGAGAUAGGCACCAGACGCCAAUGGUAGGCAGCAGUGGGAAAUCUGGCACAAUGGGCGGACGCGUGAGGAGGCAACGCUGCGAGCGGAAAGAAGGCCUUGGGGUUGUAAACCGCUUUAGCUUGUGACGAAGCGUGAGUGACGGUACUGGGUAAAGAAGCACCGGCUAACUACGUG